CGGAACGGGGCGGCACCCCGCGGGGGCACUGUCAGCGCAGCGUGCUCCGUGUGUUUGGAUAUAAACCAUACAUCAGGAGGGCUGGUCCUGCUGGAGUCUCCGCCAGACGCUAAGAAGCAGGGAAGGGUCCUCCUGAGAGAAAAGAGCUCCAGGCAGGCCUGGGAGCAGCCUGUCUCUAUCUAAAGGGAGGCUGUGGGAAGGAAGGGGACAGACUCGUUGUGACAGGACAAGGAGAAAGGGUUUCAAACUAAAAGAGGGGACAUUUAGGUUGGAUAUAUGGAAAAAAGUCUUGUGCAAAAAGAGUAGUGAAGCCCUGUCCCUGGAGAUGCCCAAGGUCAGGCGGAUGGGCUCUGGGCACCCAAUGGAGCUGUAGGUUGCAAUGUGUUGGCUUAAUCCAUAGAGUGGGGUAUAGUUUAACCUAAAUAGCUUGCUAUGGAAAGCUAGCUUAUUUUGGGAUAUUUUUAUGUAUCUAUAAUCUCUCUUUUAUAUGUCCUGGCCUUUAAAAGCCUACUGCUUGGUACCAUGAGGUCCUUCCAUUGGUGCGGAACAGGAGCAUCUUGAAAAUCAGCAUGUCUGUCUAGCCAGCUAAAAGGGAGACUGUUAAUUAACAAAACAUGCAUGAAUGGGAGAGGUGGUUGAGGUCUCAUGAGUGCUGCAGCCCUCUCUCCAAGCACAUAAAGAUGGGGUAAGCCUUGACAGUUCCUGAGUUCACAGAAUCUCAUCUGGCACUGAGGUAUUUUUGGGAGGACCUUGAUCCCCAGGCUAAAGAGCCCCGCAGACAGUACCACUGACUAGUCUUUUGACUGCAUGGUAGAGGAUGAUGCUCAGAAAAUAUACCAUGUGCCCGUUGCAGUUCUGGAGAAAUGAAAAGCUGCUCAAAAGGAGAAUACCAAUACCUUAGAGACCCCAUUACUAGAAAUGGAAAUGGGGGAUUUUCAUCAAAGGACAGAUUGAAAUGAAUAUGAAUGUUGUGCUCUGUCUGCCAGCCCCUCAGCAUGUGCAGUGGUAGAAGGAAGGGAAUCUUGCUUCCUCUUGAGCUGGAGCACCAUGAAUCUGGCAACUCUGCAGCCUCCUGAGACCAACAGCCUGCUCAGGAAGUGCUGAAUGUUACAAGCAAAUGCUUUGCAGGAGACUCAGGUUAAUGUUCAUUCCAGCAUACCUGUGAACCUCAGUACUUCAGAGGACAUGGCUUGAUCUGCUAUAGACUUACUCACAUGGAACAAAAAUUCCUGAAAAGUGGUUAUUAGCGCGAUUGGUCAAAACAUCAAUUUCUGAGCCCAAAUGCAUUUGAAAAGUAGGGACUACGGUAAUGUAGUGCCAGCUGUAAGUAGCAGUGGAUUUCUGCUGAAACUACUUCUGAGAAACAUGGAAGCUGCAUUGUACAAGCUCUUGUUGUGGUAAAACUGCUCCACUGAGGAGGGCAGGAGCUCUGAAAAUGUCUUGACAGCAGCUGGUCUAAACAAGAAGAUGUAAAUCCAGAAAUGCUGCUGCUGAAAUGGCUGAGGGGGCCUGCUGAAUUCAUCAGCGACUGCUUUCUGUGAUCUUUUGUCUGGUACGCUGUCCUAUGCUCCUGGCUAGCACCUCUACCUAUGGUAAAAACAAUACUUGUUAGCAUCUGAUCAUCAAAUGCUUUUCACAGGCUCCUUUGGCUAAGCCCACUCUGAUGUGACCUCCUCUGCUGACUGUAAGGUCCUUCUGUAAACUGUUUCCUGAAAGAGAGCUAGAGCUCAGAGCCUGGGACUGGUACAUAGAGCUCUUUGAAAGGCACAGCUGGAGCAGGAGUGGUAACUACACCUACACCACAAGAUAUCAAGGGCUGUAAAAUAAACACCCUAUCCUAGGGUUUUCACUGUUCGACUGUAAACAGCUGUGUGUCUGUCCAGUGGGUCCCUGCUAAUGCAUGCCCUUCCAAAUGAGCAUUCCUUCUGGAAUGUGCCUGUGCAGUGUGGAAAGCCCAGGUCAGGACAGCUCGUUGUCUUACAGAGGCUUUACUCUGCCCUAUGGCUUCCUGAACCCAUCCAAAGCUCCACAGUGCAUCAAAGCUGUACUAUGUAGUAUUUUUUAACAGCAAAGCCUGCAAAGAAAAAGCCAUUGACACUUCCAUGAGCACAAACCUGCCGUACUAUAUUUGUUAGCAAUAUACAAAACCACAGAAUGUUCUUUCAGGUUGGUGCCCCGGUCAGCAUUUAUUUUCCUCUGUACUGCUCUGCCCAUACAAACCAUUUUAGAAUUUUACUUAUCUUAAACAAAAAUCAUCGUUCCAAAUUAAGGACCCGGAGUUCUCACUGCCAGAACAACCAAUCCGUCAGUCGCUUUUAAUAAUGCGAGCCUCUUUCAUGACUUUUCAGCUCUGAUGUUUGCAUGGUUUCAAAGCAGCACCUCCUGGCAGGCUGUGGUACUGCUUCUGAGGGCAGAGACCUUGUGUUUAUAUCCCACACAACAGCCCAGCGCAGUGACCUUCAGCAACAGCCCUUAUUGCUCAUCAUGCAAAAUGCCCCGUGAUGGACUCAAUUACUACAUCUUCCACCGGUGAAGGAAUAAAAAUGGGAAAUGUUUUUUGUUUUCUCUUUGUAUGAGCAAACAUAAGCACUCAGUGCUGUCACACAGAUCUCGUUCCCCCCCUUUUUUUAAUACUACAUGGGCUAUUUACAGUAAUAUCACUAGAAACAGUGUAGGACUUGAUCCAAAGGACUGAUGUCAGCAAACAGGAGAUGUUGGCUCCCAUCCCUCUAUACUGUAAUACGGACUUCAGUAGCUAUCUUUUCCUUCUGAUUUUACUCACUUCUAUGGCCCUGCAUACGUCUGACAGGCAGAAAAUUGAGGUGAGAAUGGUAAUUCAGGAUAUUUUCAGAAAACAUCAUUAGUUUAAAGUAUUACUAACUCUUUCAGUGUAUCUUAGUCCCUUAGCAUUGAAGCAAUGCCACUGUCUUCACGGACCAGCAAAAAUACCAUGAAGUGGAAGCAUCGCAGAAAAGCACUAAUGAAGAAAAUUAAGUAAGCUUCCUUAUUUGAUGUAUCUAUGCAUGGUUUAAUGCAGUGUUCUGCUGUAAGCGUUAGAAUCACCGUGAAACAGUCCAGCAAUUUGGAAUAACUUGAGGAAUCAGGCAUGAAGAACACCAGGCAACUUAUACAGGCUGAGAUAUGAUGUAAAUACAUCCUUACUAGAAAUAAAAACAGUGCAUAGAGAGCCUUUUCUAGAAGGAAGCAUGGAAAAGUGUCGGCAAUGAUGAUAAGAAGGUGUACGUAAUCAGUAAAUGUUUCUAUUCUCCAGCCCAGACUGCAGGAUGCUUCAUUGGUGUGCUGCCAGUGAAACACCUUUCUGACCAGUAGUGAAGUAUGAUGUUAAAAGCAUCUGUGAAAGAUGGACACCUGAAUGUCCAGUUUGGCUAUGCAGGCUGCAUUGUCAUGUUUUGAGAGAACUGGCUGAAAAAAUGAUCAUAUCAUAGAAUCACAGACUCACAGAAUGGCCUGGGUUGAAAAGGACCACAAUGCUCAUCAGUUCCAACCCCUGCUAUGUGCAGGGUCGCCAACCAGCAGACCAGGCUGCCCAGAGCCACAUCCAGCCUGGCCUUGAAUGCCUGCAGGGAUGGGGCAUCCACAGCCUCCUUGGGCAACCUGUUCAGUGCCUCACCACCCUCUGGGUGAAAAACUUCCUCCUAAUAUCCAACCUAAACCUCUCCUGUCUCAGUUUAAAACCACUCCCAAGUGAUGUGGCUAUUUGGGCUGGUAUUGCUAAGUCUCCCAGAGCAGAGGAAAGCUCGAUAGGAAAGCAACAUUGAUGUGAAGAAUGCCACUUAGGUGUUGUUUGCUGCAGCAAACUUCCUUGGUCCUUCACCAACCACAAAUUCUUGUAGAUUUGGAUGCAGACGUGUUUAGUUAAUGGAAUCAUGGAAUCAUUCAGAUUGGAAAUGAGAUCCCUGAGAUCCUGAGAUCCCCAGAUCCAACCCCAGCCCACCGCACCGUGCCCACUGCCCACGUCCCUCAGUGCCACAUCUCCACAGCUCUGAACACCUCCAGGGACGGUGAUUCCCCACCUCCCUGUGCAGCUGUGCAGCGCCUCACCGCUCUUUCUGAGAAGGGAUGUUUCCUAAUACCCAGCCUGACCUCCCCUGGCACAACGCGAGGCAGCCGCUUGUACGGCCGAUGGCAGCACGGAGGAACGCAGCCCGUCCUGGUCUGAUUGCGAUGCGCUGCUGCGCUGCAGAUAAAACCAUGACCUGCCCAAAUUGCUCUCUGCCGUAAGAGGGCGAGACUGGAAACAGGCAUUGCUGAGUCUAGGAGCAAUGCCCCAGGUGGCACGCUUCUGCCCACGACAACCACCGCGGCCAUCCCAUUGGCAGCUCUGCAGCCGGGCCGGGUCCGUCCCUCGUUCCAGUGUCCCAGUUCUCGGGAUUGGCGCACACGCUGAGCUCAGCUCCUCUCCGCCACCCCCGAGCUGCCCCCGCCGGGGACUGCCGGCUCCUCAGCCGCCG
This 4472-nucleotide long non-coding RNA is filed under the name Gallus gallus (chicken). RNAcentral describes it as "lncRNA (ENSGALG00010026235.1)". Lineage: Eukaryota; Metazoa; Chordata; Aves; Galliformes; Phasianidae. The record is from RNAcentral.